Molecule: ribosomal RNA, 494 nt
Filed under: uncultured bacterium
Lineage: Bacteria
Description: partial 16S ribosomal RNA
Rfam family: Bacterial small subunit ribosomal RNA
Source: RNAcentral
GACGAACGCUGGCGGCGUGCCUAAUACAUGCAAGUCGAACGCUGAAGGAGGAGCUUGCUUCUCCGGAUGAGUUGCGAACGGGUGAGUAACGCGUAGGUAACCUGCCUGGUAGCGGGGGAUAACUAUUGGAAACGAUAGCUAAUACCGCAUAAGAGUAGAUGUUGCAUGACAUUUGCUUAAAAGGUGCAAUUGCAUCACUACCAGAUGGACCUGCGUUGUAUUAGCUAGUUGGUGAGGUAACGGCUCACCAAGGCGACGAUACAUAGCCGACCUGAGAGGGUGAUCGGCCACACUGGGACUGAGACACGGCCCAGACUCCUACGGGAGGCAGCAGUAGGGAAUCUUCGGCAAUGGACGGAAGUCUGACCGAGCAACGCCGCGUGAGUGAAGAAGGUUUUCGGAUCGUAAAGCUCUGUUGUAAGAGAAGAACGAGUGUGAGAGUGGAAAGUUCACACUGUGACGGUAUCUUACCAGAAAGGGACGGCUAACUACGG